UACGAAGGGGGCUAGCGUUGUUCGGAAUUACUGGGCGUAAAGCGCACGUAGGCGGGUCGUUAAGUCAGGGGUGAAAUCCCGGAGCUCAACUCCGGAACUGCCUUUGAUACUGGCGAUCUCGAGAUCGGAAGAGGUGAGUGGAAUUCCCAGUGUAGAGGUGAAAUUCGUAGAUAUUGGGAAGAACACCGGUGGCGAAGGCGGCUCACUGGUCCGAUACUGACGCUGAGGUGCGAAAGCUAGGGGAGCGAACGGG
This 253-nucleotide ribosomal RNA is filed under the name uncultured bacterium. RNAcentral describes it as "partial 16S ribosomal RNA". It matches the Rfam family "Bacterial small subunit ribosomal RNA", at positions 524 to 776 of the family's 1533-position model. The record is from RNAcentral.